GCGUCCGUAGCUCAGCUGGAUAGAGUACCUGGCUACGAACCAGGCGGUCAGAGGUUCGAAUCCUCUCGGGCGCGCC
This 76-nucleotide transfer RNA is filed under the name Vibrio cholerae. RNAcentral describes it as "tRNA-Arg(acg)". It matches the Rfam family "tRNA". Rfam says of the family: Transfer RNA (tRNA) molecules are approximately 80 nucleotides in length. Their secondary structure includes four short double-helical elements and three loops (D, anti-codon, and T loops). Further hydrogen bonds mediate the characteristic L-shaped molecular structure. tRNAs have two regions of fundamental functional importance: the anti-codon, which is responsible for specific mRNA codon recognition, and the 3' end, to which the tRNAs corresponding amino acid is attached (by aminoacyl-tRNA synthetases). tRNAs cope with the degeneracy of the genetic code in two manners: having more than one tRNA (with a specific anti-codon) for a particular amino acid; and 'wobble' base-pairing, i.e. permitting non-standard base-pairing at the 3rd anti-codon position. The record is from RNAcentral. Lineage: Bacteria; Pseudomonadati; Pseudomonadota; Gammaproteobacteria; Vibrionales; Vibrionaceae.